AUGUCAGCGAUGCAAGCCGAGCGCGGAGCAGGACCAGAGAAUCGCCCAACUUUGAGAGAAAAUGCACUAGUGCAGUCGCAAUGCGGAAGUGCCGUUUCCACAAUGGCUCCUUGUGAAGCGAUCCAACGGAAGACUACACUUCCCACAAGUCUGUGCGACGAGGCGCCAGGAAAACAGGCUGGUGACGUGUGUGUUUCCUGUGUUUCUUCACCUCUGCAGAUGCUCAGGAGCUUAAGACAGAAGGAUGCCAAAUCCAAGGAUAACCUGGGCAAAAGGUACAAACUACAAAAAAGGGUUACUGAGCAUCUUAGGGGUAAAGUCCCUGCUUGCCUGGGAUGAAGAAGGCUUUAGUUAUAAAUACACCACUACAAUAGACAAUCUCGUCCUGUAGUUAAAUAAAAUAACCAGUUUGCCACAGCUGGAAAAAAAGUCUUAGUGUGAACAUUGGAAUCCAUACAGUGUAGUGCACAGGUCAAGGUGCACAGAUAUGAUUUAAAAUUAUAGAACAAAAUUAAAAGCCCAGCUCUCUAGAAUUCACUUGUAAAGAACUCAGAGAAUCUAACUGGGAACAUAGAAAUAAUGAAUGAAUGAAUAAAGAUAGAUUGGCACCAUUGGGACCUCCUAUCUCCUCGUAAAUAUCUAGUGCUGUACUGGUCAUGCCAAAGACCAAAGAACAAACCUUUUUAGAAAGAAGAGUCUGGACUCGUGACGGACAGUGGUUCACAAGGAAGCUAAAUCUCAGCUGAGAAGGAAAGUCUUUUUUUUUUUUUUUUUUUUUUAAUAAGAAACUUGUGUCCUGCCGGGCAGUGGUGGCGCAUGCCUUUUAUCCCAGCACUUGGGAGGCAAAGGCAGACAGAUUUCUGAGUUGGAGGCCAGCCUGGUCUACACAGUGAGUUCCAGGACAGCCAGGGCUAUACAGAGAAACCCUGUCUCGAAAAACCAAAAAAAAAAAAAAAAAAAAAAAAAAAAAAAAAAAAAAAAAGAAAGAAAGAAAGAAAGAAAGAAAGAAAGAAAGAAAGAAACUUACUUGUGUCCUUUUUUAUUCUUCCCUGAAAUGUUUAAGAAGGAGUUUUAAUAACUGGUUGGGGAGGGUGGUUGGAGAGAUGGCUCAGCGGUUAAGAGCACUGACUGAUCUUCCAGAGGUCCUGAGGUCAAUUCCAGCAAUCACGUGGUAGCUUACAACUAUCUGUGGAUCCCAAUCCAGUGCCCUCUUCUGGUGUGUCUGAAGACAGCUAUGGUGUACUCAUAUAGAAAAAAAUAAAAAUAACUAUUAGGUGACA
RNAcentral lists this long non-coding RNA (1280 nucleotides) under Mus musculus (house mouse). RNAcentral describes it as "RIKEN cDNA 9430065F17 gene". The record is from RNAcentral. Lineage: Eukaryota; Metazoa; Chordata; Mammalia; Rodentia; Muridae.